CAGCACCACCUCCAGCAGGACCAGCGCGACCCCCAGAUCCCUGCACGGAGAAGGGAACAAGCUCAGUGUUGUUGCAAGCGAGCACAAACACAAGCACGUGAUGGACUUCCGCGGCUCAAGGUGACAAGGCGACUUCGGGAAAGUUGUUCCCCGCAGCCCCCCGGGCGGAUUUACUUACGGACGAACCAAACCACCGGCGCUGGGAAGCUGCGCGAUGUCCAUCUUCGCUCAUUCCCAGCCCGGGGGCUCCGCUCACGGCUUCCUCUCGUCGCCGGGCCGUCCCCUGCGAGCCGAGCCGAGCCGAGCCCGCUCCUGGCACCCUCCGGAGCUCGGCGAGGCGCUGCUGGGGGGGGGCUCGCAGCCGCCCUGCCCGGCCCGGCCCCUGCCCCGCUCCGCUCCUCUCCGCGACCUCCCGGGCGGCCGCGACGGUACGGGAUGAGGAAGCGACGCCUCUACCCCCCCGCCGCCCGCACCCACCCACCCAUGGCCGGCAGAGGAGGAGGAGAAGGAGGAGGAGGAGGAGGAGGAGGAACCGCGGGGAGCGGGCGAGGUUGCGCGCUCCCAGGGUCUCCGCCCGGGGGAGGAGAGGGGGCUGCCGCCGCCCAUCGGUUACGGCGAGGCGAGUCCCUCGCCCUGAAGGCAGCCGCGGCCGCCACGGAGGGGAGAAGCACGGCUGUGGGGCCGGCCCCGCGGAGCCCCCACGCCCAGCCGCCGGCACGGUGCGCGGCAGCAUGUGGCUGUGGCUGGGCUUCGGGCUGCUGCUCAGCGCAGAGCUCGACACCGUGGCCGCCGCGGGUUGUUCCGGUUGUGGAAAAUGUGACUGCAGUGGAGUAAAAGGGCAAAAGGUGAGUAUGUCAGCUGUCUCAGCUUCAUUAUCUCUCUUACUUAAACCACACAGUGUAUAAUCUACUGGGCGGCAGGUCAGCCGUGGGUUUCCCUGGGCAUUUGUAUCACCAUAGAACAUUGUCAGGCCCUUUAAGCAGUGUUUCCAAAAUGCUGCCGCCUCAGUAUCUGCAGUGGCAGGGGGCUGGAGGCUUGGGGUGGGAAAUAGCCUAAUGCCAUCACCGUUGGUUGAAGCCCCCAGCCUGGUGCUUAGCCAUGCCCUCUAUCUGUCCCCACUGAGCGUGAUGCUGACCCGUCAGCCUCACCUUUCUCGUGCCUCAUCUUUCCCAUGCCUCACCUCCAGACUUCCAGUGCAGAUCUAGGUUUGACAUUCUUGACCACCUUUGGGAGAGAGGUGAGCACCUCCAUUCAGAAAUGGUCCCCUCAGUGCUUUCCAGGAAGGCUGUGGGCUGUGAUGCAUCAUAAGCAACAUACCCUGACCAGGGGUCAGGUAACCCCAGAGGCAAUGACGUCCAGUAGGAAGAAGGAAGUUGAUAAUAAACUCAAAUACAGAAAAAUAUUUCA
Molecule: long non-coding RNA, 1407 nt
Filed under: Anas platyrhynchos platyrhynchos (common mallard)
Lineage: Eukaryota; Metazoa; Chordata; Aves; Anseriformes; Anatidae
Description: lncRNA (ENSAPLG00000016478.1)
Source: RNAcentral